AUUGAACGCUGGCGGCAGGCCUAACACAUGCAAGUCGAGCGGAUGAAGGGUGCUUGCUCCUGGAUUCAGCGGCGGACGGGUGUGUAAUUCCUAUGAAUCUGCCUUGUCGUCUGGGAUAACGUCCUGCAACGGGCGCUAAUACCGCAUACGUCCUGCGCUCGUACGUGGGGGAUCUUCGGACCUCACGCUAUCAGAUGAGCCUAGGUCGGAUUGGCUAGUUGGUGGGGUAAAGGCCUACCAAGGCGACGAUCCGUAACUGGUCUGAGAGGAUGAUCAGUCACAAGGGAAGUGAGACACGGGCCAGAGGACUACGGGAGGGAGCAGGGGGGAAUAGUGGACAAUGGGCGAAAGCCUGAUCCAGCCAAGGCGAGUGAGAGAAGAAGGUAUUCGGAUUGUAAAGAAGUUUAAGUGGGGAGGAAGGGAAGUAAGUUAAAACCUUGCGGGAGUGACGGUACCAAAAGAAGAAGCACCGGCUAACUUCGUG
RNAcentral lists this ribosomal RNA (484 nucleotides) under uncultured bacterium. RNAcentral's name for it is "partial 16S ribosomal RNA". It matches the Rfam family "Bacterial small subunit ribosomal RNA", at positions 29 to 507 of the family's 1533-position model. The record is from RNAcentral.